UACGUAGGGUGCAAGCGUUGUCCGGAACUAUUGGGCGUAAAGAGCUCGUAGGCGGUCUGUCGCGUCGGAUGUGAAAAUCCAGGGCUCAACCCUGGACCUGCAUUCGAUACGGGCAGACUAGAGUUCGGUAGGGGGGACUGGAAUUCCUGGUGUAGCGGUGAAAUGCGCAGAUAUCAGGAGGAACACCGGUGGCGAAGGCGGGUCUCUGGGCCGAAACUGACGCUGAGGAGCGAAAGCGUGGGGAGCAAACAGG
This 253-nucleotide ribosomal RNA is filed under the name uncultured bacterium. RNAcentral describes it as "partial 16S ribosomal RNA". It matches the Rfam family "Bacterial small subunit ribosomal RNA", at positions 524 to 776 of the family's 1533-position model. The record is from RNAcentral.